Long non-coding RNA from Scophthalmus maximus (turbot), 890 nucleotides. RefSeq lists it as uncharacterized. Lineage: Eukaryota; Metazoa; Chordata; Actinopteri; Pleuronectiformes; Scophthalmidae. The record is from RefSeq and is a predicted model, not a curated record. The transcript is spliced from 3 exons.
UACACCGAGCCAUCACCUCAGCGGUCGAUGACUCCACCAUUGGCAGAAUUGAUGACACCAGGGCCACUACAGAGGGAGAGCAUCUCUCUCGAAACGCCGGAAUAAAUCCACACUCCUCCAGCCUCCAGCUCCCCCUCUGAUGUAUGCCUGUCCUCUGCUCUCCUUGGGUGCACAUGGGAGUUAUUUGAGCCUUUCUGGGACCAGCGGGAAGCGGCGCUGCCACACCGGCUCACUGUUGGAUUACCCCUCGUUGCUCCUGGUAGUCAAGCAUGAAGUUUGAAGAAAGGCAUUAAGGAUUCAUCAGUGGGACAAGUGAACAUCGGCUGUGGGUGUGGAUUGAUGUCAUAUCUUUUCAUGGCGAGUUAAAGGUUUGGAAGGAGCAUGGAAAUGCGCAUCUUUUCAUCUCGCAGCAGACGGCGGCGCGGCGCAUGCAUUCCUACAACUGGUGAAGUUUAAUGAUUCUAUUCAGCCCCUGUUCAUCUCACCCAGAAAUAAUUUAAUAAGAAACUUUGCCCUUUGGGAGUCUCUGUGUCCUGUCACAAUAGUCGGCGGACGGACCAAAAGACGGCUUGCAUACAACAAAGAGGAAGUCCUGACUAUGGAAGCCUUUGAUACCCUUCAUUUAUUUGUUCAGUGCCUCUCUUUUUUUGUUUUUCGUGACAGACUUUCGUGCUGAAAUGUUUGAUUUUGCAGCUACACACUUUGGUUAUGCGAGUGUCAAAUGACUGGAUUUCACAAUUUUCAGUUUGGAUUAGAGUGUAGAAAAAGGUUAGCAUCCGAAUUUUUCUAAAAUAUGUUUUAGUUCAUAUUCAUGUCCACACGUAUCAUGGGUGUACAUUUACCAUUUUUAUCAUACAUGCGAUUUGUACAGUACAUGUACAGUAAAAUGA